This 669-nucleotide ribosomal RNA is filed under the name Stenotrophomonas sp. CH-y. RNAcentral's name for it is "bacterial SSU rRNA". It matches the Rfam family "Bacterial small subunit ribosomal RNA", at positions 28 to 693 of the family's 1533-position model. Lineage: Bacteria; Pseudomonadati; Pseudomonadota; Gammaproteobacteria; Lysobacterales; Lysobacteraceae. The record is from RNAcentral.
GAAAGACGCUGGCGGUAGGCCUAACACAUGCAAGUCAACGGCAGCACAAGAGAGCUUGCUCUCUUCGUGGCGAGUGGCGGACGGGUGAGGAAUACAUCGGAAUCUACUCUGUCGUGGGGGAUAACGUAGGGAAACUUACGCUAAUACCGCAUACGACCUACGGGUGAAAGCAGGGGACCUUCGGGCCUUGCGCGAUUGAAUGAGCCGAUGUCGGAUUAGCUAGUUGGCGGGGUAAAGGCCCACCAAGGCGACGAUCCGUAGCUGGUCUGAGAGGAUGAUCAGCCACACUGGAACUGAGACACGGUCCAGACUCCUACGGGAGGCAGCAGUGGGGAAUAUUGGACAAUGGGCGCAAGCCUGAUCCAGCCAUACCGCGUGGGUGAAGAAGGCCUUCGGGUUGUAAAGCCCUUUUGUUGGGAAAGAAAUCCAGCUGGCUAAUACCCGGUUGGGAUGACGGUACCCAAAGAAUAAGCACCGGCUAACUUCGUGCCAGCAGCCGCGGUAAUACGAAGGGUGCAAGCGUUACUCGGAAUUACUGGGCGUAAAGCGUGCGUAGGUGGUCGUUUAAGUCCGUUGUGAAAGCCCUGGGCUCAACCUGGGAACUGCAGUGGAUACUGGGCGACUAAAUGUGGUAAGGGUAGCGGAAUUCCUGGUGUACAUGAAUGCUAA